This 750-nucleotide ribosomal RNA is filed under the name Staphylococcus capitis. RNAcentral's name for it is "partial 23S ribosomal RNA". It matches the Rfam family "Bacterial large subunit ribosomal RNA", at positions 2053 to 2814 of the family's 2925-position model. Lineage: Bacteria; Bacillati; Bacillota; Bacilli; Caryophanales; Staphylococcaceae. The record is from RNAcentral.
GUGAAGAUGCCGAUUACCCGCAAUGGGACGAAAAGACCCUGUGAACCUUUACUAUAACUUCGUAUUGACUUUGAGUAAACAAUGUGUAGGAUAGGUGGGAGGCUGAGAAGCUGGCACGCUAGUGUUGGUGGAGCCGUUGUUGAAAUACCACCCUUUGUUUACUUAGAGCCUAACUCGGAAACGAGGACAUUGCGUGGUGGGUAGUUUGACUGGGGCGGUCUCCUCCUAAAGAGUAACGGAGGAGCACGAAGGUUGGCUAAUCCUGGUCGGACAUCAGGAGGUUAGUGCAAUGGCAUAAGCCAGCUUGACUGCGAGCGUGACGGCGCGAGCAGGUGCGAAAGCAGGUCUUAGUGAUCCGGUGGUUCUGAAUGGAAGGGCCAUCGCUCAACGGAUAAAAGGUACUCCGGGGAUAACAGGCUGAUACCGCCCAAGAGUUCAUAUCGACGGCGGUGUUUGGCACCUCGAUGUCGGCUCAUCACAUCCUGGGGCUGAAGUAGGUCCCAAGGGUAUGGCUGUUCGCCAUUUAAAGUGGUACGCGAGCUGGGUUUAGAACGUCGUGAGACAGUUCGGUCCCUAUCUGCCGUGGGCGCUGGAGAACUGAGGGGGGCUGCUCCUAGUACGAGAGGACCGGAGUGGACGCAUCACUGGUGUUCGGGUUGUCAUGCCAAUGGCACUGCCCGGUAGCUAAAUGCGGAAGAGAUAAGUGCUGAAAGCAUCUAAGCACGAAACUUGCCCCGAGAUGAGUUCUCC